RNAcentral lists this ribosomal RNA (247 nucleotides) under uncultured bacterium. RNAcentral describes it as "partial 16S ribosomal RNA". It matches the Rfam family "Bacterial small subunit ribosomal RNA", at positions 9 to 237 of the family's 1533-position model. The record is from RNAcentral.
GAGUUUGAUCGUGGCUCAGGAUGAACGCUGGCGGCGUGCUUAACACAUGCAAGUCGAGCGAAGCGCUUUGACGGAUUUCUUCGGAUUGAAGUCUUAGUGACUGAGCGGCGGACGGGUGAGUAACGCGUGGGUAACCUGCCUCAUACAGGGGGAUAACAGUUGGAAACGACUGCUAAUACCGCAUAAGCGCACAGUACCGCAUGGUACGGUGUGAAAAACUCCGGUGGUAUGAGAUGGACCCCGCGUC